This 207-nucleotide ribosomal RNA is filed under the name uncultured bacterium. Its description in RNAcentral is "partial 16S ribosomal RNA". It matches the Rfam family "Bacterial small subunit ribosomal RNA", at positions 568 to 774 of the family's 1533-position model. The record is from RNAcentral.
CGCGUAGGCGGUCUGCUAAGUUGGAUGUGAAAACUCUGGGCUUAACCCCAGAGCCUGCAUUCAAUACUGACAGGCUAGAGUUCUGGAGGGGAUAGCGGAAUUCCUGGUGUAGCGGUGAAAUGCGUAGAUAUCAGGAGGAACACCGGUGGCGAAGGCGGCUAUCUGGACAGAAACUGACGCUGAGGCGCGAAAGCUAGGGAGCAAACA